CAUACUUUUUUUUUAGUGCGGCCGUGCACUUUUCGAAACAAAGCUACCAGUUCUCAAAAGAAAUUGCGACAUUUCAGAACACAAACGCCUGCCGUUGUAAACACUAAAAGAGAAAAUGAUUAAUUUCGGGAAAGUAACAAUCUUGGUUUCCAUCAUAUGCUCAUUUGGGACCUCUGUACAACUGCCUCGCGGAGUAGACCGUUAUGCAUAUUGUGAGAGUUGCUUGGCCACGACACAAGAAAUGGAAGCUAUUGAGAGGAAACUGUCUUUGGGAUCCAGACCACAGCUUGUUGAGAAGCUGAUCGAUGACGUCAUUUGUGAAAAUGUAUCCUUUCAAAGACGUGCUCAUCUUCCAGCUGACCAGCUGAGGACAGCCUGCAAGCACCUGUUGGAUGUCUACGGUGAAGAAUUCCGUGAUGCACUGCUGCGCCGCAGAGAAUCCGAACGCUUGGACAUUCUUUUGUGCUACGAAAAUUCUUUGGCUUGUGUCGGAGUGAAAAGACACGCCGACCAGGUGGGCCAACAAGAAAACAAGAAUUCCUUCACGGACAGUGACAUCGAAGCACUGAUGCAGCAUAACAGUGUGAAUUUGCGCGUUCCGCGGCCUGUCCAUACCAACAUUACGAAGAUGCCUUUAAAGGACGAACUGUAAAAAAAAAUAUGGCCAAGCGCUGAUGGAAGGAAUAUAUACCUGAUCAAUACAUCUGAGUACUAACAGCAGUUUAUCUGUAAAAACACAGACAUACAUAAAUGUAACGGUUUUGAUCGGUUUAAUAAUGAACUAGGCCUAUAUUAUUUAUUAAGACGUUAUACGGGAAUUGGCUGACGCGAUUGCUGUAUUCAUGUACAUUGAAACAGCGAUACCUAGUGGCUGUACUAGGUUACAUUCUUACAGUAAAUGGUUUGAAGUGCA
This is a long non-coding RNA of Anguilla anguilla (European eel), 913 nucleotides long. RefSeq lists it as uncharacterized. The transcript has 5 exons. NCBI's taxonomy places the organism in Eukaryota, Metazoa, Chordata, Actinopteri, Anguilliformes, Anguillidae. The record is from RefSeq and is a predicted model, not a curated record.